RNAcentral lists this unclassified non-coding RNA (1098 nucleotides) under Hevea brasiliensis (rubber tree). Lineage: Eukaryota; Viridiplantae; Streptophyta; Magnoliopsida; Malpighiales; Euphorbiaceae. The record is from RNAcentral.
UUAAAAAAAAAAAAAGUAGCCGAGCCGAAGGAGCUCUCACAAAUAGAAUUUGAGUACCACGGAGAAAAGCUAGCUGGAUAAACAAGACAGGGAUCGCCCGCUCGGCAAUGCUACCUUGGGGAGGAGACAAAACACUUUAAUAGAACAUUGAAACUCAUAUUUCAAAUUUCCGAUAUAUGAACAAGAUUACUAUGGAAGAGUUGGUGAACAUUGUUUUGACUCAUAGCUCUAAGAUGACUAGCAUGAAUGAGCCAGCUUCAACACCACCUAGACUCUUAAUCAUAGACAGACUUGCACUGACCUCAACAUAAAAGGAUGAACCUGGUCCGUCUAUUUGUACGCAUUGGCUUAACUCACUCCCCUAGACACUGUAAAGAACAUAUAAUGAAAACUGCCUGGUAAGGGCUGUACAAGGGAACGAUAAGGGGGUUUGAUAAGAAAGAGUUUGGGAAUGUCCCGCUUAGUUAACAAACAUUGAGUUUAGAGUCGGGACAGCAUGAAUACGAGACUAUUGAAGUGAAGUUUGGAAUCAUUGUGGUUUUCUAUCUUCAGAUUACCAAAUCACCAAGGCCUUUCAGCGAUUCGACGCGCCCCCCCUAAGCUAGACGACCUGACCUCAGAGAGAAUAGAAUGAGUCGCCCUAGCCUUAGUCUUACUAAGAGUUUGAAUUGCUCUGUAGGAUAGUAGGGCGAAUGAAUUGCAUUAGUGCGAUUUGGCUAGCUGAAUCGCCCAGCGAACAAAUCGCCUCCUUACUAUCUUAAAAAAAAGCGGACCCGCGCGAAUCGCGUCUUCGAUCUUGCAUAUAUGCAUAUAAAGAAAUAUAAAUAUUAUUUCUUUAUCAAUAUAUUUGAUUUAGAUUCGUAAUUAGCUGCACAUGAAGAAUGGCAAGACAUUGAAAGAAGGGGUUCUGCACGAAUGCCCUGUUGAGAAAAACUUCAAAUUGAAUAAGAUAAGACCGAUCCCAUGAAGGAAACGGGCAUUCAAACAAGAGUUUCAGCUUGGCUAUGUUCCCUCUCGAACAGCUCUUUUCGCAAUCAGCAGUUUCGUAAUAGACUAGGCUGUUAGCAGGAUUCGCAGGCGAGACAGAUGAGGAGCAAU